RNAcentral lists this ribosomal RNA (204 nucleotides) under uncultured bacterium. RNAcentral describes it as "partial 16S ribosomal RNA". It matches the Rfam family "Bacterial small subunit ribosomal RNA", at positions 1296 to 1500 of the family's 1533-position model. The record is from RNAcentral.
GAUUGAAGGCUGAAAUUCGCCUUCAUGAAGUCGGAAUUGCUAGUAAUGGCAGGUCAGCAUACUGCCGUGAAUACGUUCCCGGGCCUUGUACACACCGCCCGUCACACCAUGAGAGUUGGAGAUACCCGAAGCCUAUGAGCUAACUUUUAGAGGCAGUAGUCGAAGGUAGAAUCAAUGAUUGGGGUGAAGUCGUAACAAGGUACC